GGAUAGUACUCACCUACUUGGGGUUUAAGAGAGGUUUUCUCUGCUGGCCUUCUCCUCUUUCUUCUCCAUCUUGAAUCUCUGGUCUGCUCAGACUUAUCUCCAUCCGCCACCAAAAAAUGGCUUCCAACGUCUCUCUACCUAUGAACUACAGAGCUCAAUUUCAGUCCCCAACUUGGCCACCAAAACCUCCCAAAAUCACCAGAAUUCAUAAAUCCUACAAAAACCUCCAUUUUCUCUCUGUACCAGCCAAUCACUGUCUCUCUACUCCUUUACUCUCUUCCUCUUCUUUCCCUCUUAUCACCAAAUUCCCUCGUAAUCUACUCCCUUUCCACCCUUUGCAAGAUGCUACUGAGGAACAUAUCAUCGAAGACAUUGAUAAUUCCAUGAGAAACCACCAAAAUCUUGAAAAUUUGAUCAAAUUGGACUUACCCACUGGCCACAAUCGCCAGAUUAUACGUCAGGAAUUGUCAGAAAGAGUUCUUAUCCAUGAUCCUCCGUGGAUUUCAGCUCUUUUUUUUAAGGGACUGUACAAGAUAGCUAAUCGAGAAUUGAAGGUAGAGUUCAAGGAUAUUGAAAAGAGAAAGUAUAAUUUGCUUAGGAGGAGGCAAAUUAGACAAGAGACUGAGGCGUGGGAGAGAAUGGCGGAAGAAUAUAGGUGUUUAGUGAAGGAAAUGUGCGAGAGGAAGUUGGCACCAAAUUUGCCGUAUGUUAAGGGAUUGUUUUUGGGGUGGUUUGAGCCCUUGAAAGAGGCCAUAAAGAAGGAGCAGAAUCUGCAGAGGUCGAAGAAGCAGAAGGCGGCCUUUGCUCCCCAUAUUGAGUUGUUGCCAGCAGAUAAGAUGGCAGUGAUCGUUAUGCACAAGUUGAUGGGGCUAGUGAUGGUUGGCCAUGAAGAUGGGUGUGUGCCAGUUGUCCAGGCUGCGGUGCAAAUUGGUAUGGCUGUAGAGCAGGAGGUUAGGAUUCAUAAUUUCUUGGAAAAAACAAAGAAUUUCCAAAGGAAGAAGACAAUCACUGAUGCUCAACAGAGUCUGGGAAGGGAGAAGGAGAUACUCAGAAAACGUGUUAAUAAUUUGAUUAGAAGGAAAAGGCUUAUUGAGGUGCAGAAGCUGUUGAAAAAUGAAGAAAUGAAACAUUGGGGUCGAGAUACACAGGCUAAGCUGGGAAGUCGCCUGGUGGAACUGUUAACUGAAACAGCUUUUGUGCAACCCCCCGUCAACCAGUCAGCAGAUAUUCCACCUGAUGUUCGACCUGCUUUUAGGCACAGAUUUAGAACUAUAACAAAUAAUCCAGGGCAUAAAAUUGUGAAGAAGUAUGGGGUUAUAGAAUGUGAUCCCCUCAUCCUCACUGGACUUGAAGGAUCUGCUAAGCAUAUGUUGAUUCCUUAUUUUCCAAUGCUAGUACCUCCCAAAAAGUGGAAAGGGUAUGACAAGGGUGGACACUUUUUCUUGCCUUCAUAUAUCAUGCGUACUCAUGGAUCUAGGAAGCAACAAGAUGCACUUAGGAGUGUUCCUGGAAAAAAUAUGCAGAAAGUAUUUGAGGCCCUGGAUAUGCUUGGAAACACCAAAUGGAGGGUGAAUAGAAGAGUACUUGAUGCAGUGGAAAGCAUAUGGGCAAGGGGUGGCAAUAUAGCAGGCUUGGUUGAUCGUGAAGAUAUUCCGAUACCAGAGAAACCACUUUCAGAGGAUUUAAGAGAGAUUCAGCAGUGGAGGUGGAGUAUGAGAAAGGCAAAGAAGAUAAACCGAGAAAGGCAUUCUCAGAGAUGUGACACUGAACUUAAGCUUUCUGUGGCACAAAAACUGAAAGAUGAGGAGGGCUUUUAUUAUCCUCACAAUCUUGAUUUUCGAGGCCGUGCGUACCCAAUGCAUCCACAUUUGACACAUCUAAGUUCUGAUAUUUGUCGAGGAAUUCUUGAAUUUGCAGAAGGACGACCAUUAGGGAAGUCUGGGUUACGCUGGCUGAAGAUACAUUUGGCAAACCUGUAUUCAGGAGGGGUUGAAAAACUCUCUCAUGAAGGGCGCCUAGCUUUUGUGGAAAAUCACUUAGAUGACAUAUUUGAUUCAGCAGAAAACCCUGUUCAUGGAAAAUGUUGGUGGCUAACGGCUGAAGAUCCUUUCCAGUGCUUAGCUGCUUGUGUUAAUCUAUCAGAAGCCUUAAAGAGCUCAUCACCACACACUGUCAUCUCCCACCUGCCAAUCCAUCAGGAUGGAUCUUGCAAUGGCUUGCAGCAUUAUGCAGCCUUGGGAAGAAACAGUCUCGAAGCAGCAGCAGUUAACUUAGUUGCUGGUGAAAUACCUGCUGAUGUUUAUACAGAAAUUGCUGUGAGGGUCCAUGAAAUAAUAAAAAGAGACAGCAGGAAGGACCCUACUACAAAUCCAAAUGCCAUAUUAGCCAACCUUUUAAUUGAUCAGGUGGAUCGAAAAUUGGUUAAACAAACAGUAAUGACUUCAGUAUAUGGUGUCACUUAUGUUGGGGCACGUGAGCAAAUAAAACGAAGAUUAGAGGAGAAGGGUCAUAUUACAGAUGAUAGGCUGCUAUUCAGUGCAGCUUGUUAUACUGCUAAAGUAAGUAACCAUGCCCUAAUAUAAAGGAUUAGCUUUUUGGCACUUGAGAGCAUGGUGUAGGGUAUGGGAUUGAGAUUAAAUAAAUAAACCGAGGGAGACACUUUUACCACAACCUUUUGUAACAAAAUCCACCAUUUUAUUAUUGAUAGCACACAACACCCAGUUUCUUUACUUCCCCUCUUUUUCUCCACAUAUCUCUGUGGCCCUUCAAAAUCACUGCUAAAACAGCAAUCAGCAGAUCACAAGUUAGUUUUUGAUGGUAGUGGUGGCACACUUUCUUGGAAUGCAUUUGAUCAUCCAUAUGGCACCAAAUGAUCAACCAAUGACCAAGGAGCAGAUGCAUGUGUGUUUGCGUUUAUGAGCUUACCAAUCAAAAGGAUCCACUACUGUGCCCAAAUAUGGAGUGCAUUAAUCCAGCUGAAGCAAUCCCAAAAGGAUCUCUUCCUGAUAUUGUCAUGUCUCUCCUCUUCCACUUCUUUUCGUUUUUCUUUUUCUGUUUCACUUCAAUCAAUAUACAUAUCUUUGUAAGCAGAAAACUAUUGAUUGGAUCAAGAAAUGACUUGGUAUUUUCAGACUUUAUGUGGCAUUACGCAUUAGCCUAAUAAGGUGAUGGAGAAAGGGUGAUGGUGACAAAAAGGGUAGACAAAGUGAAAAGGUGACAAUGACUGCCCUGGGGGAAUUAUUCCAAGCUGCACGUGAUAUAAUGAAUUGGCUUGGUGAUUGUGCAAAGGUUAUUGCUUUAGAAGAUCAGCCUGUGCGGUGGACAACUCCUCUAGGUCUUCCUGUUGUGCAACCAUACUAUAAGAGUGAACGACAUCUUAUACGAACUUCACUUCAGGUUUUGGCCCUGCAGCGGGAGGGUAACUCGGUCGAGGUUAGGAAACAGAGAACUGCAUUCCCUCCAAAUUUUGUUCACUCGCUUGAUGGUUCACACAUGAUGAUGACUGCUGUAGCAUGCAGAGAUGCUGAUUUGCGUUUUGCAGGUUUGUCUCGCACAAAAAUGCUUUAUUAGGACUGAGGUCCUCAGGAAAAAGAAUCUAUUGCAAGGCUAUUUGCAGGCUCAAGGACAAUAAUUUUUCCAUAAUUUAUUUUGUGCUCAAUUAUGCUGUUCUGGUUCUGUUGUGAUAUGUUUCAAGAGUUGGAUAGUCAAAUGUGACCAUUGUUUUUACCUUAUCUGAUUCUGACGUCUUUAACAAAUAAUGAAUCAAUCCCUUCUGCAGGUGUGCAUGACUCCUUCUGGACACAUGCAUGUGAUGUGGAUUUGAUGAAUCAAAUUCUUAGGGAAAAGUUUGUGGAGCUUUAUAGCAUGCCAAUACUUGAAAAUUUGCUAGAGAACUUCCAGACAUCGUAUCCCACAUUGAAAUUUCCUCCUCUCCCAGAGCGAGGCAACUUUGACUUGCAAGAAGUUCUCAGAUCUCCAUACUUUUUCAAUUGAUUCUCCAGCAAGCAACAACCUACCAUACCUUAAUCUGAAGCAUCAUUUCUUCCGUUUUCAGCCUAUUAAAGGCCAAGAGUUCAAUGAGAAAUUAAUCCAAGCAUCAAGCUGACAUUUGAAGUGGGAAACAGAAGCCUAAGGUUGCUUCUCCAAGAACACAGCUACCUGUUGCCUAGUUGCCUUUGGUAUACCUGCAACCUUCAAGGCUUUCUUAAAAGACCAUUUGUACAUAGUAAUCAGAUUCAAGACACCGGACUGAUUCUAUCUGGGAGGAUGAACAGCCCGGACUGAUUCUAUCUCGGAGGAUGAACUGCCCAAAUGAUCUACUGAAGUACACAGUGAAGGAAACUCUACCUUCAGUUAGGUUAUAAGAUUGUUGAUAUCUCGUCCAUGGAGUGAUCUUCCGGAAACUAAUCAGCAGAAAGAAAUUCAUAGAUCAAUUACUUUUCGAGAUGAAGUAUAUUACACAACACAUGCGGUGAAGUUUCUUUUCUUAAUUUUUUGCCCCUCCCUUUGGCAAGCUCAUCACUUGAAAUCAGGCUACUUUUAUUGCUGUUAAUUGAUGUAAGAUCUUUUCUUUUCGCGCCCUCCUUUUUGUUAUCAUGUAUCAUCCUUCUGUAUAUGCUUAUCGUGUCGGACGAGACAAGUACACUCUAUGCCUAUUAAAUUGCUGACUGUACCAUUUAUAGAGCAAAUGGCAAAAGUCAAACAAGUUGUUGCAUCCACAAAGGAAAAUUCAUAUCUAUUCUCCCCCUAAAAUCCAUAUAAUGGACAAAU
Molecule: unclassified non-coding RNA, 4770 nt
Filed under: Hevea brasiliensis (rubber tree)
Lineage: Eukaryota; Viridiplantae; Streptophyta; Magnoliopsida; Malpighiales; Euphorbiaceae
Source: RNAcentral